Labrus mixtus (cuckoo wrasse) is the source of this 906-nucleotide long non-coding RNA. RefSeq lists it as uncharacterized. The transcript has 5 exons. The record is from RefSeq and is a predicted model, not a curated record. NCBI's taxonomy places the organism in Eukaryota, Metazoa, Chordata, Actinopteri, Labriformes, Labridae.
CGUACAACUUGUCUUCGCUCCUCUUCAGCUCCACCGUCGUAUUCAAACAUGGUCACCUCCGUCUCCAGCUCCUCCUCCAGCAUUAUAUUGAACAUCUCCUGCACAAAGUUGUUCUCAUGUAGCGCUCCUCCUCAGCUCCACCCUCUCCUCAAGUCACCUGUGGCUCCAGCGUCUCUUUGAUUCAUUCCCUCAGCGGACAGGUGGGAUCUUAAAAAGGAACAGGAGGUGAAAUCUAAAGAAGACCUGUGAACAACAGAACAGAGGAGACAGGAAGCAGCACAGAGGACACAGACAGGAUGAGGCUGAAUGAACAGACCGACAACGAGAGAGAAGAAGAAAAGAUGAGAGACAAGUGUCAAUGCUGAGACCUCAAAGCAAACAGAGGAGUCCAUUUAAAGAGGAGACGGACGAGUUUGGAGACAACAAGAGGUCGGCACAACAUUUCGAAUCAGCUGCAAAAACAGAGUUUGCAAAUCAAAUCUGAAUAAAUAUAGAUCCAUGAAUAAUCUCUUCUGUCAACUGUUGGUAUUUUCUCUUUAUUUUGAUGUAGGGGUCAUUUAUAUAUCCUUAAUAAUAUCACCUUGUUAAGGAAAAAAACAGGUUUUCUCAAAAAUGUUGAAUAUCCUGACUCUGAAUUAUUUAAUUUGAAGUUUAUGUUUUGCUGCUGUUAUCAUACCCAAUAUGAUGCAAUCCUGAAAUCCAACAGAGGAGUUGAUCAAAUUUUCAAUUUCAAGUACAUAUUUGAGAUUGUGAGAACAAGGUGAGAGAGAGAGCGUCUGUCCUGAGAAGAGGAUUAUAUGGAUGAGGACUACACCGGGCCAAGGUGCAGCUCAUUCCCUGAUUACGACCCCGCCUUGACCUGAACCUGUAACAGAGAACAAACCAGCAGCACGGUGUGGAGGGCUC